AGAACGAACGCUGGCGGCAUGCCUAACACAUGCAAGUCGAACGAGACCUUCGGGUCUAGUGGCGCACGGGUGCGUAACGCGUGGGAAUCUGCCCUUGGGUUCGGGAUAACAGUUGGAAACGACUGCUAAUACCGGAUGAUGUCUUCGGACCAAAGAUUUAUCGCCCAAGGAUGAGCCCGCGUAGGAUUAGCUU
RNAcentral lists this ribosomal RNA (193 nucleotides) under uncultured soil bacterium. RNAcentral describes it as "partial 16S ribosomal RNA". It matches the Rfam family "Bacterial small subunit ribosomal RNA", at positions 26 to 247 of the family's 1533-position model. The record is from RNAcentral.